RNAcentral lists this ribosomal RNA (429 nucleotides) under Chloroflexota bacterium. RNAcentral describes it as "Chloroflexi bacterium partial 16S ribosomal RNA". It matches the Rfam family "Bacterial small subunit ribosomal RNA", at positions 355 to 776 of the family's 1533-position model. Lineage: Bacteria; Bacillati; Chloroflexota. The record is from RNAcentral.
UGGGGAAUAUUGCACAAUGGGCGCAAGCCUGAUGCAGCCAUGCCGCGUGUGUGAAGAAGGCCUUCGGGUUGUAAAGCACUUUCAGCGGGGAGGAAGGCGUUAAGGUUAAUAACCUUGGCGAUUGACGUUACCCGCAGAAGAAGCACCGGCUAACUCCGUGCCAGCAGCCGCGGUAAUACGGAGGGUGCAAGCGUUAAUCGGAAUUACUGGGCGUAAAGCGCACGCAGGCGGUUUGUUAAGUCAGAUGUGAAAUCCCCGGGCUCAACCUGGGAACUGCAUCUGAUACUGGCAAGCUUGAGUCUCGUAGAGGGGGGUAGAAUUCCAGGUGUAGCGGUGAAAUGCGUAGAGAUCUGGAGGAAUACCGGUGGCGAAUGCGGCCCCCUGGACGAAGACUGACGCUCAGGUGCGAAAGCGUGGGGAGCAAACAGG